Molecule: unclassified non-coding RNA, 346 nt
Filed under: soil metagenome
Description: partial contains 5.8S ribosomal RNA, internal transcribed spacer 2, and large subunit ribosomal RNA
Rfam family: 5.8S ribosomal RNA (bases 1-120)
Source: RNAcentral
GAUGAAGAACGUAGCAAAAUGCGAUAAGUAAUGUGAAUUGCAGAAUUCAGUGAAUCAUCGAAUCUUUGAACGCACAUUGCGCCCCCUGGUAUUCCGGGGGGCAUGCCUGUCCGAGCGUCAUUGCUGCCCUCAAGCACGGCUUGUGUGUUGGGCCCCGUCCUCCGAUCCCGGGGGACGGGCCCGAAAGGCAGCGGCGGCACCGCGUCCGGUCCUCGAGCGUAUGGGGCUUUGUCACCCGCUCUGUAGGCCCGGCCGGCGCUUGCCGAUCAACCCAAAUUUUUAUCCAGGUUGACCUCGGAUCAGGUAGGGAUACCCGCUGAACUUAAGCAUAUCAAUAAGCGGAGGA